UUUAGAUUUUUUGAAAGAUGUGGGCAUGAAGCUGAAAAGGAUUGGAGAUGCCACGAAAAUAACAGAAAACACAGAUUUCAACACUUUUGUCUCUGUUUGGAAAGGCAAUAAGAAAAACCUUCGAAGGGAAGUUGAGGAAGAAUAUGUACCAUUUUCUUUAAUGUCUUUAAACCUGCGUGGCAAAUUUCUAACUAAUUUUGUGGUUCUAAUGAAGAAAUCUGACCUUUUGGAAAAACUGCAGCUCCAGCUGGAACAGGUUCUUGAGGAUCCUGAACAAUUCAGACUAAAUAUGGACGAAUCAGAGUUUAAGGAUCUGAUGGACAACUUGCAAGAUGUCAAAGGAGCAAUUGUCACUGAACUUGCCGAGGCUACCCUCUAUUUUCUUCAGGCUCUUGAUGAACUGACAGAAUUCCAGAUAAUGCUACUGAUAGAAUCUGUGGAAAAAAAGAUUGUAUCCCAGCAACUGAACCUGGUUGGAGGGAUCCUAGACAAAUAUUUUUGGAAUGAAAAACAGAAUUUUACUGUGGAAAUCCAGCAGUUACCUGAAGAGGAAUGGGAUACAACUGGAGCAUUAAUUGAAGAAAUAAGUGGAAUAUCCGUUCAACGAAGUGGAUGCACUGUUACCGGAUCUAUACUCCCUGAUUCUUCCUCAAACCUCUCUGCGCUAUAUGUGGCUCUAUUUGCAAUUGAUCUUCUAUCUAAGAAAAGUUUUUAAGCCAUUCUUGUAAAUCAGAGUAUUUUUGCAGAUAGAAAAGAAUCAUGCACAAAUGCAGCAGUCUAAUAUACUCAAAAUGAAAGUUGUAAUCUGAUAGCCUUAUUUGAAAGGAAGUUUGCCUGAGAAUAUCAAUUUAUAUUAGAUAAUUACUUCUUGCAUUCAAUUUUCCAUCACUGCUUUCACACAAAAUUCUAAAUCAUUUGGAGUUUGGCAUAGUAAAUUGUUCAAACUUAGAUUAGGGCCAGUCAGAAACCAUUACCAUGAGCCAUUGUGGUGCAGUGGUCAGAGUGCAGUACUGCAGGCUAUUUCUGCUGACUGCUGGCUGCUGCAAUUUGGCAGUUCAAAUCUCAUCAGGCUCAAGUUUGACUCAGCCUUCCAUCCUUCUGAGGUGGGUAAAGUGAGGACCCAGAUUGUUGGGGGCAAUAGGCUGACUCUCUAAACCAGUGGUCCCCAACCUUUUUUGUACCAGGGACGGGUUUCAAGCAGAAAAUUUUUUCGGGGCCGGGGGGGGGGGGAG
This 1232-nucleotide long non-coding RNA is filed under the name Notechis scutatus (mainland tiger snake). RNAcentral's name for it is "lncRNA (ENSNSUG00000016981.1)". The record is from RNAcentral. Lineage: Eukaryota; Metazoa; Chordata; Lepidosauria; Squamata; Elapidae.